Molecule: ribosomal RNA, 235 nt
Filed under: Staphylococcus aureus
Lineage: Bacteria; Bacillati; Bacillota; Bacilli; Caryophanales; Staphylococcaceae
Description: partial 16S ribosomal RNA
Rfam family: Bacterial small subunit ribosomal RNA
Source: RNAcentral
UUUUAUGGAGAGUUUGAUCCUGGCUCAGGAUGAACGCUGGCGGCGUGCCUAAUACAUGCAAGUCGAGCGAACGGACGAGAAGCUUGCUUCUCUGAUGUUAGCGGCGGACGGGUGAGUAACACGUGGAUAACCUACCUAUAAGACUGGGAUAACUUCGGGAAACCGGAGCUAAUACCGGAUAAUAUUUUGAACCGCAUGGUUCAAAAGUGAAAGACGGUCUUGCUGUCACUUAUAG